AGGUGGCCAGGGCUGCGCGCGGCGGCAGGCUGGGGCUGUGGCGGAGGCGCGGCAGCGGUGGCCGGCGGCUGCUUGAAGGGGCCGCGUGGAUCUGCCGCCGGGGCUUCGGAUCGGCGUGGUCGUCUGAGCCCCGAGUUUUCGACGCCGAGAGCUUGGCGAUCCAGAGGGUGCUGGUCUCCGUCGGUGGACAUUCGAUGACAAAU
Molecule: long non-coding RNA, 203 nt
Organism: Triticum dicoccoides
Lineage: Eukaryota; Viridiplantae; Streptophyta; Magnoliopsida; Poales; Poaceae
Exons: 2
Source: RefSeq, a predicted model, not a curated record